AUACGGAGGGUGCAAGCGUUAUUCGGAAUCACUGGGCGUAAAGGGUGCGUAGGCGGUUUGAUAAGUCUGAUGUGAAAUCCUAUGGCUCAACCAUAGAACUGCAUUGGAAACUGUCAGACUAGAAUACUGAAGGGGCAGAUGGAAUUAGUGGUGUAGGGGUAAAAUCCGUAGAUAUCACUAGGAAUACCGAAAGCGAAAGCGAUCUGCUUGGAAGUUAUUGACGCUGAGGCACGAAAGCGUGGGGAGCAAACGGGAUUAGAAACCCUAGUAGUCC
This 274-nucleotide ribosomal RNA is filed under the name uncultured bacterium. RNAcentral's name for it is "partial 16S ribosomal RNA". It matches the Rfam family "Bacterial small subunit ribosomal RNA", at positions 523 to 796 of the family's 1533-position model. The record is from RNAcentral.